This 77-nucleotide transfer RNA is filed under the name Acidithiobacillus ferrooxidans ATCC 23270. RNAcentral's name for it is "tRNA-Gln". It matches the Rfam family "tRNA". From Rfam's summary of the family: Transfer RNA (tRNA) molecules are approximately 80 nucleotides in length. Their secondary structure includes four short double-helical elements and three loops (D, anti-codon, and T loops). Further hydrogen bonds mediate the characteristic L-shaped molecular structure. tRNAs have two regions of fundamental functional importance: the anti-codon, which is responsible for specific mRNA codon recognition, and the 3' end, to which the tRNAs corresponding amino acid is attached (by aminoacyl-tRNA synthetases). tRNAs cope with the degeneracy of the genetic code in two manners: having more than one tRNA (with a specific anti-codon) for a particular amino acid; and 'wobble' base-pairing, i.e. permitting non-standard base-pairing at the 3rd anti-codon position. The record is from RNAcentral. Lineage: Bacteria; Pseudomonadati; Pseudomonadota; Acidithiobacillia; Acidithiobacillales; Acidithiobacillaceae.
UUGGGGCGUAGCCAAGCGGUAAGGCACCGGAUUUUGAUUCCGGCAUUCCCAGGUUCGAUCCCUGGCGCCCCAGCCAA